RNAcentral lists this long non-coding RNA (241 nucleotides) under Anas platyrhynchos (mallard). Its description in RNAcentral is "lncRNA (ENSAPLG00020008454.1)". Lineage: Eukaryota; Metazoa; Chordata; Aves; Anseriformes; Anatidae. The record is from RNAcentral.
CCGGCCCGGCCCCGGCGGGCGGAGGCGGGCUCGGGGCGGGUUAAAAGCGGCGGCAGGUGAGCGGGGAGGGACCUCAGAGCCGCGGGGCGGUGAGCCGGGCACCGGCCGCUCCGCUGACACCGCCGGACCCGCAGCCGAGCCCAGAACGGGUUCUCAGUCAGCAGCUCUCGGCGAGCACGUUAUGUGAAGCACCCGGCCGGCUCCAACCCCGAGCGAGCUAAAGGCUUCCGCAAUUACAGGU